GCGCGCAUAACUCAGUUGGCAGAGUAGCGGGCUUUUAACCCGAGAGUCGCAGGUUCGAGCCCUGCUGCGCGCACCA
RNAcentral lists this transfer RNA (76 nucleotides) under mine drainage metagenome. RNAcentral describes it as "tRNA-Lys". It matches the Rfam family "tRNA". From Rfam's summary of the family: Transfer RNA (tRNA) molecules are approximately 80 nucleotides in length. The record is from RNAcentral.